This 449-nucleotide ribosomal RNA is filed under the name uncultured bacterium. RNAcentral's name for it is "partial 16S ribosomal RNA". It matches the Rfam family "Bacterial small subunit ribosomal RNA", at positions 29 to 523 of the family's 1533-position model. The record is from RNAcentral.
AACGAACGCAGGCGGCAUGCCUAACACAUGCAAGUCGAACGAGAUCUUCGGGUCUAGUGGCGCACGGGUGCGUAACGCGUGGGAAUCUGCCCUUUGGUUCGGAAUAACAGUUGGACACGACUGCUAAUACCGGAUGAUGACGAAAGUCCAAAGAUUUAUCGCCAGAGGAUGAGCCCGCGUAGGAUUAGCUAGUUGGUGUGGUAAAGGCGCACCAAGGCGACGAUCCUUAGCUGGCCUGAGAGGAUGAUCGGCCACCCUGGGCCUGAGACACGGCCCAGACUCCUACGUGAGGCAGCGGUGGAGAAUAUUGGCCAAUGGGCGAAAGCUUGAUCCGGCAAUGCCGCAUGAGUGAUGAAGACCUUAGGGUUGUAAAGCUCUUUUACCCGGGAUGAUAAUGACAGUACCGGGAGAAUAAGCUCCGGCUAACUCCGUGCCAGCAGCCGCGGUAA